UUUUUUUUUUUUUUUUUUUUUUGUCUUUUUUUGUUGUGGUUGUUGUUGUUGUUGCUAUUUCUUGAGCCGCUCCCGCGGCAUAUGGAGGUUCCCAGGCUAGGGGUUGAAUCGGAGCUGUAGCCACCGGCCUACGCCAGAGCCACAGCAACGCGGGAUCCGAGCCGCGUCUGCAACCUACACCACAGCUCACGGCAACGCCGGAUCCUUAACCCACUGAGCAAGGGCAGGGACCGAACCCGCAACCUCAUGGUUCCUAGUCGGAUUCGUUAACCACUGCGCCACGACGGGAACUCCUACUUCUCUUACUCUUGUAUCUUUGAGUUUUCACUGGGCACGGUCAAGCUGUGGCUCUAACUUUGCCACUCUUCAGAUAAGCCACACUCUUUAAAAUGCCCAUCUUCACUGGGUGACUGGGGAGAGCCCCUCCCCCCAAAUCCCCACCCGUGUCCAGGUCCGUCUCCCCUCCCACCGCUCUUCCAGCAGCCAGGCCCACGGCUGCACUGAAUGGGCCUUGCCGCGUGCUUUAUCUCUGCUGGGCUAACCGCUCUCAUUCCUCUUUUCUCCUGAGUUUUUUUUUUUUUUUUUUUUUUUUUUUUUUUGUCUUUUGUCUUUUUUUGUUGUUGUUGUUGCUAUUUCUUGGGCCGCUCCCGCGGCAUAUGGAGCCCUAAAAAGGAAAAAAAAAAACAGGCUCUGCUGCCAUCCUGCUCUUUACCGAUUCUGCCCUCAAACCUGCUCCCUGGCACCUCCUGGCUCCCUUUCUCCCCCAGGGGCUGUUCUUCCACCCCUCAGACCUCGGCACCUGCUGGCUCUCCUCAGCCCCUCAGGCUCUCCUCUCGUGAGGGCCCACUCCUCAGGGCAUCUCUCCCUUGCCCACAUGCCUUGCUGGGGCCUCCUAAACCAGGGCUGGCUGUCACCAGCUCCCCUCUGAGCCCAGUCACAUAGGCAACGCCCCCACAGCUCCUGAGUACCUUCCAGGAACACAAAGUGAAACCCGGACUUCCGCCCACAAACCGGUUCCUCUCUCAGCUGCCCCCAGUUGGUCAAUAAGAGCAUCAGCCAGCCUGUUGUUCAAACAGACUGGACGUCACCCUGGCUCUUCCCUCUACCUUACUCCCCAGUCCCACAACACCUUCCGUCCUUCUGCCGCCUGUCUGCAAAAUAGACCUUGAAUCUCUCCACCUCCACUGCCCACACCCCAGGCCCAGCACAAACAUCCGCCACACAAUGACCCCGGUGGCUUAGAGCCCCCACUAGUUCCUUCCUCCCAGAUAACCCAGCCCCUGCCCUCCCUCUGACCUCACUUCCCGCACCGCCCGAGCCUUUCCUCCCUAAGGCCUGGCAUCACGGCCCAGGCCCGGGUACCCAGCGUGCUGGGUGCUUUCCUGCCCCGCCAGGUCUUUCCGGCGGGAGGACUGUCCUCGCGACUGAUCACGGGGCAGCCUGAGCGGGGGCCGGCCCGGCAGCUGGAGUCCAAGGUCCCCGCUGCUUCUCGCCCCCCCAGGCCUCCGUUACCCGCCGCCCCAUGACUCUCUCCUGCCAACGACCUGCCUGUCCUUUGAGGCCACCUGCGGAGGUUCUAGAGGGCACAGCUCGCCACGCCCCCUCCGCGAGUUGUCACAGCAGCGAGACCGGCGGCGAGGAAAGGCGGGCUGCUGGAGAAGGCACCGUGACCCGCCCAGCCGAGGAGAGCGGGCGCGGCCCGGGCCGGGCGGGCGCAGGCAGCGACCCUCCGCCACCGCCCGCCGCUCGCCCGGAAGUCCCC
Molecule: long non-coding RNA, 1762 nt
Filed under: Sus scrofa (pig)
Lineage: Eukaryota; Metazoa; Chordata; Mammalia; Artiodactyla; Suidae
Description: lncRNA (ENSSSCG00025012815.1)
Source: RNAcentral